This 361-nucleotide transfer-messenger RNA is filed under the name bacterium. It matches the Rfam family "transfer-messenger RNA". Rfam says of the family: Bacterial tmRNA, also known as 10Sa RNA or SsrA, is named for its dual tRNA and mRNA-like properties. The record is from RNAcentral. RNAcentral also lists the same sequence under 1 other name.
GGGGGUGAAACGGGUUCGACGCACUGGCGGACGAUGAAGGUGGCAUGUCCCGGGGCCGUUGGCCGGGUUAUCAAGCGGCAAAAUUGUAAUCGCAAACCAAGACGAUUACGCAACAAUCGCAUUAGCCGCUUAAGCUGAUGCGCCUGACUAGGGUGGGCUCAUUAUCCUAGAAAGGCUAUUACAAGUGGGCUAGGAAUUUAGGUCUGUCUUGAGCUUAAGUUCCGAAACUACAUCCGGGCUCGUCAGUCUGUUUCCUGUCUGGGGGAGUGCAGCUGAUUAAAUACAAUUCUCAGGCUACACAUUGUAGAUGCCUUCUUUUUUCACUUUGCGGACGGGGGUUCGACUCCCCCCACCUCCACUC